UCGAACGCUAGCGGCAUGCCUUACACAUGCAAGUCGAACGGCAGCACGGGGGCAACCCUGGUGGCGAGUGGCGAACGGGUGAGUAAUGCAUCGGAACGUGCCCAUCGAUGGGGGAUAACUGCGCGAAAGCGUUGCUAAUACCGCAUACGACCUACGGGUGAAAGCAGGGGACCGCAAGGCCUUGCGUCGAUGGAGCGCCGAUGCCGGAUUAGCUAGUUGGUGAGGUAAAGGCUCACCAAGGCGACGAUCCGUAGCUGGUCUGAGAGGACGACCCAGCCACACUGGGACUGAGACACGGCCCAGACUCCUACGGGAGGCAGCAGUGGGGAAUCUUGGACAAUGGGCGAAAGCCUGAUCCAGCAAUGCCGCGUGUGGGAAGAAGGCCUUCGGGUUGUAAACCACUUUUGGCGGGAAAGAAAUGGUCUGUGCUAAUACCACGGAUUGAUGACGGUACCCGCAGAAUAAGCACCGGCUAACUACGUG
Molecule: ribosomal RNA, 483 nt
Filed under: uncultured bacterium
Lineage: Bacteria
Description: bacterial SSU rRNA
Rfam family: Bacterial small subunit ribosomal RNA
Source: RNAcentral